UACGAAGGGGGCUAGCGUUGUUCGGAAUUACUGGGCGUAAAGCGCACGUAGGCGGAUUAGUAAGUUAGGGGUGAAAUCCCGAGGCUCAACCUCGGAACUGCCUUUAAUACUGCUAGUCUCGAGUUCGGGAGAGGUGUAUGGAACUCCUAGUGUAGAGGUGGAAUUCGUAGAUAUUAGGAAGAACACCAGUGGCGAAGGCGAUACACUGGCCCGAUACUGACGCUGAGGUGCGAAAGCGUGGGGAGCAAACAGG
Molecule: ribosomal RNA, 253 nt
Filed under: uncultured bacterium
Lineage: Bacteria
Description: partial 16S ribosomal RNA
Rfam family: Bacterial small subunit ribosomal RNA
Source: RNAcentral